RNAcentral lists this ribosomal RNA (1235 nucleotides) under Clostridioides difficile. Its description in RNAcentral is "bacterial LSU rRNA". It matches the Rfam family "Bacterial large subunit ribosomal RNA", at positions 770 to 2023 of the family's 2925-position model. The record is from RNAcentral. Lineage: Bacteria; Bacillati; Bacillota; Clostridia; Peptostreptococcales; Peptostreptococcaceae.
AGGUCCGAACCCACGAGCGUUGAAAAGCUCGGGGAUGACUUGUGGGUAGCGGUGAAAUUCCAAUCGAGCCCGGAGAUAGCUGGUUCUCCCCGAAAUAGCUUUAGGGCUAGCCUCAAGGUGAGAGAUACGGAGGUAGAGCACUGAAUGUCCUAGGGGGUAUUGCACCUACCGAAGACUAUCAAACUCCGAAUGCCGUCAUCUUAUACUUGGGAGUCAGACUGUGGGUGAUAAGAUUCAUAGUCGAAAGGGCAACAGCCCAGAUCGUCAGCUAAGGUCCCUAAAUGUAAGUUAAGUGGUAAAGGAUGUGGGAUUGCACCGACACCCCCGCACUUGUCUUACCAGCCGCCCACCCUUCCAUCAGUUCGUCCUUACUCCCUAGUCGUUUGAUCCUGCGCCGAAACUUUCUGGGGCUCCCACUUACUACCCCAUCUCCGCCCUCCGUAAUGCUGGUCAGGGGAGCUUCCCAUACGGGUUGAAGCAUGACCGUAAGGACAUGUGGACAGUAUGGGAGUGAGAAUGUUGGCAUGAGUAGCGAGAUGUGGGUGAGAAUCCCACAGGCCGUAAACCCAAGGUUUCCAGGGGAAGGUUCGUCCGCCCUGGGUUAGUCGGGACCUAAGCUGAGGCCGAAAGGCGUAGGUGAUGGACAACAGGUUGAUAUUCCUGUACUACCGAUAACCGUUUGAGAGAAGGGAUGACACAGUAGGAUAAGCUAAGCACACUGUUGGUUAUGUGUGCCCAAGCAUUGAGGCAGUCAAAGUAGGCAAAUCCGCUUUGAUAAUGCUGGGAUGUGAUGGGGAGCGAAAUUUAGUAGCGAAGUAGCUGAUUUCACACUGUCAAGAAAAGUCUCUAUCGAGGGUAAAGGUACCCGUACCGCAAACCGACACAGGUGGGUGAGGAGAGUAUCCUAAGGCCAGCGAGAGAACUGUUGUUAAGGAACUCGGCAAAAUGACCCCGUAACUUAGGGAUAAGGGGUGCCACCAUCAGGUGGCCGCAGAGAAUAGGCCCAAGCGACUGUUUACCAAAAACAUAGGUUUCUGCUAAGUCGCAAGACGAUGUAUAGGAGCUGACGCCUGCCCGGUGCUGGAAGGUUAAGGGGAUCUGUUAGAGCAAUCGAAGCAGUGAACUUAAGCCCCAGUAAACGGCGGCCGUAACUAUAACGGUCCUAAGGUAGCGAAAUUCCUUGUCGGGUAAGUUCCGACCCGCACGAAAGGCGUAACGAUUUGGGCACUGUCUCA